Molecule: long non-coding RNA, 949 nt
Organism: Mugil cephalus (flathead mullet)
Lineage: Eukaryota; Metazoa; Chordata; Actinopteri; Mugiliformes; Mugilidae
Exons: 3
Source: RefSeq, a predicted model, not a curated record
ACAAUGUAGUUUUGUUAUUUUUGGCCACAAUCAAUUACUGUGGUGAAAAGUUAGAAGGAAAGCAACAUCUUUUGCUAUGCCUGUGACAGCACUUAGGUCUAGCCACUAGCUAACGACCUCCACUAUUAACGUGGCAGAAGAAAACCUUUUUCCGCUGAGACCUGUCACUCAUAAAUGAAGAGGCCAUUUUGUUCUCUGAAAGAGCUAAGAGCUCACACUAGCACAGAAAAAUCAAGUAUGAUGAAACCAUGAGUACGUAUUUCUGCUUCAUGUCACUUCCACUUUGUCGCCUCACUUCAACUUUGGCCAGUAUGCAGGAUGUGAUGCAACUGUAUUUGGUGUCCAGGGUAAAUGGUUGAGCAGAAAUAUAAUGGCAAUUCUUGCAGUGUGUCUUCAGCUUCAAUGUUGCAUGUAUCGGAGAGUUUACAGCUGUGGGUUGCCUUACUUUUUCCUCUUCUGGAGAGCAUUGACUCUAAUUUCCUCAGUCAGUCUUCAUCCAGGCAAGUAUAGACUCUAGAAGCAUAUUAAUUAGCUGACUAAUAUUUUAUAUGACACUGCCUUUAAUUCUACCUCCCCUCCGAGUAUCUGCAUUUAGGUCCUGUUUCUUGUUACCACUUGCACUUGUUGCCUGCUUCUUCCACCACAGUGAGUUUCACAUCAGAAGUGAAAUCAUGAAGCGAACGAACAUGUGAUAUAACACGGUGAAAGACAGCAUGAAUUAAUCCAGUCAAAUGCCAGUUUUGGUCCCCCACCAUCGACCUCCUUGGACACUGAAUCAACAAACACAGGGCAACACUCCUACCAUCAAAGUAGUGAUAGAUGGACUCUUCAUACACACCUUAAUGAGCUGUCCAUCUCCUGUACCAAUGAAGAAAACCAUCCAUGUCUUCUGCCUCACUGCCAGCACAGAGGUCAUGUAGGGCUGCCUGAAGAGAACUGCCUCUGGUUU